GGUGACCUCGAUCAGUAGGUACCCAAGGGA
Molecule: ribosomal RNA, 30 nt
Filed under: Septoria codonopsidis
Lineage: Eukaryota; Fungi; Ascomycota; Dothideomycetes; Mycosphaerellales; Mycosphaerellaceae
Description: partial 28S ribosomal RNA
Source: RNAcentral